Molecule: ribosomal RNA, 253 nt
Filed under: uncultured bacterium
Lineage: Bacteria
Description: partial 16S ribosomal RNA
Rfam family: Bacterial small subunit ribosomal RNA
Source: RNAcentral
UACAGGGGGUGCAAACGUUGCUCGGAAUCAUUGGGCGUAAAGCGCACGUAGGCGGUUCGUUAUGUCGGAUGUGAAAGCCCUUGGCUUAACCGAGGAAGUGCAUCCGAAACUGGAUGGCUAGAGUCCUGGAGAGGAAGGUGGAAUGCUUGGUGUAGAGAUGAAAUUCGUAGAUAUCAAGCGGAACACCGGUGGCGAAGGCGGCCUUCUGGACAGUGACUGACGCUGAGACGCGAAAGCGUGGGGAGCAAACAGG